UACGAGUGCCCCAAGCGUUACCCGGAAUUACUGGGCGUAAAGAGUCUGUAGGUGGUUUUGUUAGUCGCGUGUUAAAGCUCCUGGCUCAACUGGGAAAAAGCAUGCGAAACGGCAAGACUAGAGGAUAUGAGAGGUGUGCGGAACUCACGGUGUAGGGGUGAAAUCCGUUGAUAUCGUGGGGAACACCAAAAGCGAAGGCAGCACACUGGCAUACUCCUGACACUGAGAGACGAAAGCGUGGGUAGCGAAU
This 250-nucleotide ribosomal RNA is filed under the name uncultured bacterium. RNAcentral's name for it is "partial 16S ribosomal RNA". It matches the Rfam family "Bacterial small subunit ribosomal RNA", at positions 524 to 773 of the family's 1533-position model. The record is from RNAcentral.